CAAGUCGAACGAUGAAGCCCAGCUUGCUGGGUGGAUUAGUGGCGAACGGGUGAGUAACACGUGGGUGAUCUGCCCUGCACUUCGGGAUAAGCCUGGGAAACUGGGUCUAAUACCGGAUAGGACCGGCGGCCGCAUGGCUGUCGGUGGAAAGGUUUUCCGGUGCAGGAUGGGCCCGCGGCCUAUCAGCUUGUUGGUGGGGUAACGGCCCACCAAGGCGACGACGGGUAGCCGGCCUGAGAGGGCGACCGGCCACACUGGGACUGAGACACGGCCCAGACUCCUACGGGAGGCAGCAGUGGGGAAUAUUGCACAAUGGGCGCAAGCCUGAUGCAGCGACGCCGCGUGAGGGAUGACGGCCUUCGGGUUGUAAACCUCUUUCAGUACCGACGAAGCGCAAGUGACGGUAGGUACAGAAGAAGCACCGGCCAACUACGUGCCAGCAGCCGCGGUAAUACGUAGGGUGCGAGCGUUGUCCGGAAUUACUGGGCGUAAAGAGCUCGUAGGCGGUUUGUCGCGUCGUCUGUGAAAACCCGCAGCUCAACUGCGGGCUUGCAGGCGAUACGGGCAGACUUGAGUACUGCAGGGGAGACUGGAAUUCCUGGUGUAGCGGUGAAAUGCGCAGAUAUCAGGAGGAACACCGGUGGCGAAGGCGGGUCUCUGGGCAGUAACUGACGCUGAGGAGCGAAAGCGUGGGUAGCGAACAG
This 704-nucleotide ribosomal RNA is filed under the name Rhodococcus sp. YIM 48817. RNAcentral describes it as "bacterial SSU rRNA". It matches the Rfam family "Bacterial small subunit ribosomal RNA", at positions 58 to 775 of the family's 1533-position model. The record is from RNAcentral. Lineage: Bacteria; Bacillati; Actinomycetota; Actinomycetes; Mycobacteriales; Nocardiaceae.